CCCAAAUUCCACAUGCUCGAGUAUGCCGAAGGGUAGACCUCCCACCCUUGUGUAUUAUUACUUUGUUGCUUUGGCGAGCUGCCUUCGGGCCUUGUAUGCUCGCCAGAGAAUACCAAAACUCUUUUUAUUAAUGUCGUCUGAGUACUAUAUAAUAGUUAAAACUUUCAACAACGGAUCUCUUGGUUCUGGCAUCGAUGAAGAACGCAGCGAAAUGCGAUAAGUAAUGUGAAUUGCAGAAUUCAGUGAAUCAUCGAAUCUUUGAACGCACAUUGCGCCCCUUGGUAUUCCGGGGGGCAUGCCUGUUCGAGCGUCAUUUCAACCCUCAAGCUUAGCUUGGUAUUGAGUCUAUGUCAGUAAUGGCAGGCUCUAAAAUCAGUGGCGGCGCCGCUGGGUCCUGAACGUAGUAAUAUCUCUCGUUACAGGUUCUCGGUGUGCUUCUGCCAAAACCCAAAUUUUUCUAUGGUUGACCUCGGAUCAGGUAGGGAUACCCGCUGAACUUAAGCAUAUCAUAACGGGGAGGAAAA
Molecule: ribosomal RNA, 524 nt
Filed under: Botrytis cinerea
Lineage: Eukaryota; Fungi; Ascomycota; Leotiomycetes; Helotiales; Sclerotiniaceae
Description: eukaryotic LSU rRNA
Rfam family: 5.8S ribosomal RNA (bases 160-313)
Source: RNAcentral